Daucus carota subsp. sativus is the source of this 9065-nucleotide long non-coding RNA. RefSeq lists it as uncharacterized. The record is from RefSeq and is a predicted model, not a curated record. Lineage: Eukaryota; Viridiplantae; Streptophyta; Magnoliopsida; Apiales; Apiaceae. The transcript is spliced from 3 exons.
AAAGAAAAGAACAAAAUCAAAGAGAGUUGGCAAGCAAGGGGGCACAUGGAUGGCUAUGAUUUACCCAACACACAUCACACAUGGAUGGAUUAGAUUUAGCCACCCUACCCCUAAACCCUACAUUUCUAGCUAUAAAUACCCCCACCCCCUUUACUUGUAAUCAUCAUCUUUUUAACCUAGGAUUUUCUCCUUUUAGUAGCCUCCUCUUUUAUAGUCUAGAUCUAGUUUUAAUUUGUAUGCUCACUCCUCCUUUUGUAAACACAUUUUAAUAUUUUAAUGCAAGAUUUCAUAUUGUUCUUACAUUCUUGUUCUUUAUGUUUACUUUGGCUAUGAAAUCUUCCUCUAACUACAAAAGAAUUCAAAGUUGUUUGUAGAUUGGAAGGAGCCAUCUAUAGUAGUUUCUUUAUAUUUAGAUUUACUUUUUGAGAAAAACAUGAACUCUAGCACAAAAAUCAUUUGUGUGGGGGUUUAAUGAUUUUAAACUUAAAGGGUAUAAUAUAGUUAAAUUAUUUCAGCAUUUUCUCUUUUAAUAGUAAAUCAUUAGCAGCCACCGAUUUAUUCUCUGUUUUGUUAAAAGAAGUUUUCUCUGUUUCUCUUCGUUUAAAACCCCGCCCCUUUCCCUUUUCUUUUUAUUACUUUGUUUUCUGCUCUUUUGUUUGCGUUUUCUCGUUGCUGGGUUCAACUGAUUUCCGUUUUGUUGAAUCGCUGAGCUCGUUUUUCAUCGUUUGUUUAUGUGUCCGAGUCGUUCUUCGUUUUUGUAACUGAGUUAGUUGUGCCGAGUUUGUGACUCGGUUGAAUUGAGUCUGUGUUCUGCUGCGUGAUUGCUUUCUUUUGCUGUUAAGAUUCCGAGUUUUGUUUGUUCGUUUUUGCCGAGUCUCGAGUUGCCCUCUGCUCUGUUCUUCAUUUAGUUUGAGUUCGAGUUGUGUGGGUCUGUUUUUGUAUCUUUUGUUCAUUUGGUUGUAAUUUGCGAGUAUGGUAUCUGUUCUAUUCUGUUUUUCACCAAAGCAGUCGAGCCUUGAGCUAGUCGUGCGAGUUCUGUUUAGCUGGGUUCGGAUUUUCUGAGUCUAGUCUGCUGUGUUUUAGUCGAGUCAAACGGUAAACUAUCUGGGUUUCGUUUUCGUUUAUAUAGCUAUGAACUGAGUCUUUUUGUGUGUGAUUAUGUCGAGUAUAGCUGAGUUUUGGGUCAUUUCUGGUUUCAUCUGCUAGUUACUGAGUCGUUCAUCGAGUCGAGUUCCGGCCCCGUAGUAAGUUUGCUGCGAUUUUGUUCGGAGUUCCAGCUAUUUCGGAGUUUUGUUUUUGUAUUUUCUUAAGGCGUUUGUCUUUGUAGAGUCGAGUCUGUUAUUUUGUAUUGUGAAUCGCAGCCCUGAGUUCCAGUUGCUUAUUCUACUAAUUUUGCCAAGUUUAGUUUCCUGAGUUUAGGAUUAGAUUUGUUGCGUCUGUUUGUUUAGGAGCUACUGUGUCAAGUGAUAAGUUUGAUUAUUUUAAGUAGUUUUGUUUUUGUUUCCAUUUCAUUUCGUCAAGUUGCAGCCCUGUUCUUGGUUGCUGGGUUUGUUAUUUAUGUUUAUUCCCCUGCAAGUUCAUGGUCGAGUACCAGUAUUGCUAUAUAUUUUGUUUUAUUCGCUGAGUUUACAAGUUUGUUUUUGGUAGAAAUAGUGUUGGCCAGUUAAAAUGUCAGGUUGAUUAAGCCACUCUAUUUACAGUCUGAUAUGUGCUUGUAGUUUUUUUUUAGUCCGAGUGAUCACGUGCUUAAUUAAUUUUGAUUUAUUAAUCUUGGUAAUUAGUUUCGAUUAAUUAAAGUUAAUUAGUUUAGUUUUUAAAUUAACGUUAUAAUAACUAAAAUUAGUGUUAAAAUUUACCCUCUUCACACCAAUUCAUUGUUCUAAUUCGCCUAGAUUUUAAUUAAAGGAUUUGCGAAAAUUAAUUUUAAUCUCUGUGGAUCGAAUCAUAAAUAUUAAAACGGUGAUCGUGCGCUUGCGAUUUAAAGGUAUUAUUUCUAGCACAUCAAGUUUUUGGCGCUGCUGCCGGGGAUUAUAAUUAAUUUUUCGCUCCUUUAUUUUUAAUCUUUCGGAUUAGUUUGUUUCUCACUAUUUUUGUUUUUAUUUCGAGGAGGAUUAUUCGGGAAUCAUGGAGUAAAGUGAACAAAUUUUGCUCGGAUUUGGAAGCUUGCUUUGGAAAUUGUAGAUAAAUAAAGAAAGAAGAGAAAAUGCAAGAAAAAGGGAGAAAAAGAAAAGAAAAGAAGAAAAUCAAAGAGAGUUGGCAAGCAAGGGGGCACAUGGAUGGCUAUGAUUUACCCAACACACAUCACACAUAGAUGGAUUAGAUUUAGCCACCCUACCCCUAAACCCUAUAUUUCUAGCUAUAAAUACCCCCACCCCCUUUACUUGUAAUCAUCAUCUUUUUAACCUAGGAUUUUCUCCUUUUAGUAGCCUCCUCUUUUAUAGUCUAGAUCUAGUUUUAAUUUGUAUGCUCACUCCUCCUUUUGUAAACACAUUUUAAUAUUUUAAUGCAAGAUUUCAUAUUGUUCUUACAUUCUUGUUCUUUAUGUUUACUUUGGCUAUGAAAUCUUCCUCUAACUACAAAAGAAUUCAAAGUUGUUUGUAGAUUGGAAGGAGCCAUCUAUAGUAGUUUCUUUAUAUUUAGAUUUACUUUUUGAGAAAAACAUGAACUCUAGCACAAAAAUCAUUUGUGUGGGGGUUUAAUGAUUUUAAACUUAAAGGGUAUAAUAUAGUUAAAUUAUUUCAGCAUUUUCUCUUUUAAUAGUAAAUCAUUAGCAGCCACCGAUUUAUUCUCUGUUUUGUUAAAAGAAGUUUUCUCUGUUUCUCUUCGUUUAAAACCCCGCCCCUUUCCCUUUUCUUUUUAUUACUUUGUUUUCUGCUCUUUUGUUCGCGUUUUCUCGUUGCUGGGUUCAACUGAUUUCCGUUUUGUUGAAUCGCUGAGCUCGUUUUUCAUCGUUUGUUUAUGUGUCCGAGUCGUUCUUCGUUUUUGUAACUGAGUUAGUUGUGCCGAGUUUGUGACUCGGUUGAAUUGAGUCUGUGUUCUGCUGCGUGAUUGCUUUCUUUUGCUGUUAAGAUUCCGAGUUUUGUUUGUUCGUUUUUGCCGAGUCUCGAGUUGCCCUCUGCUCUGUUCUUCAUUUAGUUUGAGUUCGAGUUGUGUGGGUCUGUUUUUGUAUCUUUUGUUCAUUUGGUUGUAAUUUGCGAGUAUGGUAUCUGUUCUAUUCUGUUUUUCACCAAAGCAGUCGAGCCUUGAGCUAGUCGUGCGAGUUCUGUUUAGCUGGGUUCGGAUUUUCUGAGUCUAGUCUGCUGUGUUUUAGUCGAGUCAAACGGUAAACUAUCUGGGUUUCGUUUUCGUUUAUAUAGCUAUGAACUGAGUCUUUUUGUGUGUGAUUAUGUCGAGUAUAGCUGAGUUUUGGGUCAUUUCUGGUUUCAUCUGCUAGUUACUGAGUCGUUCAUCGAGUCGAGUUCCGGCCCCGUAGUAAGUUUGCUGCGAUUUUGUUCGGAGUUCCAGCUAUUUCGGAGUUUUGUUUUUGUAUUUUCUUAAGGCGUUUGUCUUUGUAGAGUCGAGUCUGUUAUUCUGUAUUGUGAAUCGCAGCCCUGAGUUCCAGUUGCUUGUUCUACUAAUUUUGCCAAGUUUAGUUUCCUGAGUUUAGGAUUAGAUUUGUUGCGUCUGUUUGUUUAGGAGCUACUGUGUCAAGUGAUAAGUUUGAUUAUUUUAAGUAGUUUUGUUUUUGUUUCCAUUUCAUUUCGUCAAGUUGCAGCCCUGUUCUUGGUUGCUGGGUUUGUUAUUUAUGUUUAUUCCCCUGCAAGUUCAUGGUCGAGUACCAGUAUUGCUAUUUAUUUUGUUUUAUUCGCUGAGUUUACAAGUUUGUUUUUGGUAGAAAUAGUGUUGGCCAGUUAAAAUGUCAAGUUGAUUAAGCCACUCUAUUUAUAGUCUGAUAUGUGCUUGUAGUUUUUUUUAGUCCGAGUGAUCACGUGCUUAAUUAAUUUUGAUUUAUUAAUCUUGGUAAUUAGUUUCGAUUAAUUAAAGUUAAUUAGUUUAGUUUUUAAAUUAACGUUAUAAUAACUAAAAUUAGUGUUAAAAUUUACCCUUUUCACACCAAUUCAUUGUUCUAAUUCGCCUAGAUUUUAAUUAAAGGAUUUGCGAAAAUUAAUUUUAAUCUCUGUGGAUCGAAUCAUAAAUAUUAAAACGGUGAUCGUGCGCUUGCGAUUUAAAGGUAUUAUUUCUAGCACAUCAUCAGCCAAGUGGGUAACGUGGUCGACGUCCUUCUUAGAUUUGACCAACAUGUCAUCUACAUACACCUCCAUCGUCUUCCCAAUUUGAUCCUUGAACAUCAUAUUCACCAACCUCUGGUAGGUCGUGCUAGUGUUGCUAAGUCCAAAUGGCAUUCCUAUGUAGCAAUACAGGCCUCUGUUUGUGAUGAAGGAGGUGUGCUCCUGGUCGGGCUCGUACAUGGGAAUCUGAUUGUAUCCUGAGUAGGCAUCCAUAAAGCUGAGAAGGGCGUGUCCUGUCGUUGAAUCCACAAAUUGGACGAUACGAUGAAGCGUGAAACUAUCUUUGGGACACGCCUUGUUGAGAUCCGUGAAGUCUAUGCAGGUGCGCCACUUCCCAUUGGGUUUCUUGACAAGUACGGGGUUUGCUAACCAUUUCGGGUAGAACGACUCUUUUACCAAUCCUGCUUUCAAGAGGCAAUCGACCUCCUCCUACAAGGCCUCGGCUCUUUCUCCACUGAUGGGCCUCCUUUUCUGUCUAGCACCCUUUUUGGAGGGGUCGACAUUUAAGUGAUUGCACAUAACGGCCGGGUCUAUCCCCACCAUAUCCUCGUGGCUUCAAGCAAAUACGUCGAGGCUAUUUGUAAGGAAUUCUAUCAACUUGCUUCUUACCUCUGGACUUAGUUUGGAUCCUAUCUUCAGGAUCUUGCCACCACUCCCCAGUGUAAUUUGUACUUCAAUCGUAUCCUCGGCUGGCCCGGUAUUCUGCACUUGCAUGGGCAGUCGUGGGUCUAGGUCGAAAUCAAACUGGUGCGGGGUUUGCUCUGGGCCUGAGGGCGUGUCCCUAGAAACUUCUUUGGGGGGCGAGGGCUCUUCCAAUUCCAUGACGAUCUCCUCUUGAUCCAGCUUUCUAACUUUCUUCGGAGGUGCCUCCUCCACUUCGAUAACCUGUUCUUCAUAUUCUUGAAACAUUGGUUCAUUGACAAGAGGGGGUUCGCCUUCAUGAGGGACGCGUCUUCCGGGUGCUGGGAUGGUGGGCGCAUCCUCAAUAUCGCUCUUUGGAUAUUGAAUGAGGUAGAGAGCAUGGACUAAGUGGAGUUCCUCGUGGGGUGGCACUCCCCUUUUGUCUCGAAAAUUCUUAAGUGAUCGGCCAUAGCAAUCGCGAGAUUCAUACUGGGAUCCUUUCACACAACCAACUCCUCCAGGGGUGGGGAACUUCAAGGUAAGAUGAUAGAUGGAGGUGACUAUUCUCAUGUCUUUCAAGAGGGGGCAUCCCAUGAGUGCAUUAUGUGCUGAGGGAUGGUCAAUGAUCACAAACUCGGCAAUCUGAGUGGCCGCUCGUGGAGCCUCUCCUAGGGUAACUAGUAAGCGAAUGGUUCCUUUGGCUUUGAUAGCCUCUCCUCCGAAGCCAUAUAUGUAAAAAUUUUCUACGGUCAUGUCUUUGUCUAGUAAUCUCAUUUUCUUGUAGGUGUCGUAGUAGAGGAUGUUGACAGAACUCUCAUUAUCAACAAAUACCCGAUGAACGUUUAAGGUGGCGAUACGGAUGACGACCACUAAGGCAUCGUUAUGGGGAUGGUGUACCCACCUUGCAUCGUCCUCCGUGAAUGUGAUGUCCAUAGUUUCUCCCUUGAAUACUCGCGGGGCUCUGGCCGAUAGAUGGUUCACAUUGGUCAGGGGGUAGUCCCUUGCUUCCUUAGCGUAUUUGUCCAUUGCUUUUCGGCUACCUCCCCCUAUGUAUGGUCCUCCGAAUAUACUUCUGAUGCUACCUUCCCUUAAAAACUGGGUAUCGUUCUGUUUUUCACCUGCUCUAUCAUCUUGUGAAGCUCCGAGGGCGCGUCUUUCUGGGGGGUGAUCGGUCCUAUACUUUUUUACCCCAUCUGUUAAAUAUCCUUCUUUGAGUAAAUAUUCAAUCUCCUCUUUCAGAUGUCGGCACUCGGAGGUGUUAUGCCCGGCUGAUUCGUGGAAGUCACAAUACUUCUUUUUGUCCAUGGCUAUGUGUUGGGGGAUAGGUUGAGGUCUUUGGAACGGCACCUUAUCCUUACUUACUGCAUAGAUGUGCUCAGCUGAUGCUGUUAGCGGAGUGUAUGUGCCUGACUGCCUUUGAGGGCUCCAAGAUCUUUUACUCGAGGUCAUGUUUACACUUCUCGGAGAGCGGGUGCGUCCUCUUGUUUCUGGGCUGGGGGUGCGAUCCUUUCUUUUAUACUUUGAUUUGGCGAUCUCCUUUUGGUUCUCGGCCAGCGACUACUCUGUCUUUUUGAAGGACUCGGCUGCGGAAUACAAUUCAGACAGGGUGGCUGGGUCCUUUCCUUGGAGGUGUUUCCAGAAGUCGGUGCCAACUUUAAGCCCAACUAUCAGGAAGUUCUUCAAGGUGUCAUCCGAAGCUCCUUUUACUUCCAUGGACUCUUGAUUAAAUCUUUUGAAGUACGCGGUCAGGGUCUCAUUGUCACGCUGCUUGACGUUGGCGAGAGUAGUAACGGGCGAAGCGUAUUUGGUCGCGGCUUGGAAUUGUGUCAUGAACAUCUGCUGCAUGCCUUCCCAAGAGGAGAUGACCCCUCGUCCUAACUUCAGAAACCAUUGUUGGGCACUGUCCCUUAAGGUUGUUGCUAGAAACCUGCACCUGACCAAGUCAGGGAUUUGAUACAAGUCCAUUUCAAUGUUGAACCUGAUCAAGAAUUCACGGGGAUCAGCAUUCCCGUGGUAAUGGAGAUCAGCAUUCAGGUUCUUGAAACCGGUUGGUAAUUGGGCUUCGCGGACUGCUGCGGUAAAUGGUGAUGAGAUCUGUGGUGCCGUUGUGGCAGCGCCAGAUUGCAAGAGGGCUAGUAACUUCUUUAAGUCUUCAGGGUUGAUGGUUCCGAUUCCUGGGAUAGUUUGGGUGGUUACCAGAGGGGUAGCGGUUACAUUUGCUAGGUUCGUGUUGGCCACUGCGGUCUGAAGUACAUUGGUGGCUUCGGUCUGGGUAGCGGUCGGUUGGACGAUUUGGGUUAGUGUUUGCGUUGGAGGGGUAGGUGCGGUGGGAAUGGUUGCGGGAAUAGUUUGCUGCGGAGUGGGUAUGAUUGGAGGCGGUGUCGUCUGUUGAUUGGCAGUAGGUAUCAUUGGAGGUGGCGUGGCUUGUUGAUUGGCAGUAGGUGGGCCUUGGGGAGGCGUGUCUCCUUGAUUGCUAUGGGGGCGCGUCCUUCCCGUGGCUCUUGGGUCCGGGGUGUGUUAGCUCGAUUCACUUUGAGAAGGGAGGUAUUCUAUCAAGGGUCCUCCUCGGCGCCUUUCCCUCAAAUUUGGUAUGAGGCCUCUUCCUCUCCCCUUUAUUCCUCGGCACGUCCUUCCUAUUCCUAUUUCACGUCUCGUCUCAGGAGGCGCGCCAGUUCCCUGAGGACGUAGGGGCGCGCCGUUUCCUUGAGAGGGUCUCCUCUGUUCCUGCUCUGCCAUUCGCACAAUCAUAGCCAAACUAUUUGGAGUGAUACCUAAUCUUUCAGCCAGAGGUCGAGAGUCUGCAUUCUGGUCGACUGUCUCUUGUCCCGUCCCUUCAGGUUGCGCAGCAGGCGUGGUCAUGUCCAGGGGCGCGCCCUCCGCAUUGUAGACUCCUUGGCUUAUUAGAGCUCCUGGUGGGAGGUUAACACCAGGGGUCGUAUCUCCAUAUUCCAACAUUCGAGGGGUAGGACGUCUGAAAGGUCUGCGUCCUCUCUUGCCAUGGCUUCUGAAAUGGCGAGAGUGUCUGGGGACAAGUUCUUCGAGUAUAGACUUCAUGGUGUUCAACCUCGUGUCGUACCUCGAUUGAUUUUGUUCUAUUCGUUGGAGGGUGCUAAGAAGCUCCGUGUUACUGACCACAACCGGGGGUGGGUUGUUUGGCAGGGUGCGGGGGUCUUGAAUGUGCACCGGCGAAUAUGCCUCCACUGGUUCAUCUUCAACGUAGUAGUCUCCUUCAUACGAAUCAUCAUCGUGAUUGGCCAUCUCUUCCUCUUCGAGAUUUCACCUGUAGCCCCUCCUUCUAGCGCCAAUUUGUUGAUAGAGGAAUUUGGUGAAUCAACAAAUGUGAGGUUCGUUGCCGGAAUUAGGUUUUUCACGGUGAUUAUAUGACGGAAAUCCGUCGUGGGUGGUGGUUUUUAGUGUUUGAUGGUGGCUGAGAUCAAGGGAAUAUAUUUCUGCUCUCGUGCUCACAACUCUCGAUAUAUCCCCUUAAUGUGCCUACGUACCCCUUUAUAUAUGGGAUCAAGCCGUACGUAGUUCUACUGAACCAGGAGUCCUAGUUUUAUCAGGACUAGCUAAUACAUGUACCAAGAUUAUUCUAGAAACUCCUACAUACUUCUAUUAUUUUAAUAGUCAAAAGUACAUUAUUUAUUUUUAACACAUUUGUCAAGAAAGAUAUAAACUUAUUAUAAUUUAUAAUGAUGUUGAAUUCUAUGUAUGGUGUGGACUACAGCCUUACAGUUGCAACAAGCUGUCAGUUUACUCCCUUCAACCUUUGCCACACAAAAAAUCCGGUUCGAAGAAAGAUGCAGAAUAUUCGUGUGACACAUGUCAAAGGAUUUUGACCUACCCAUCUCGCCAUCGCUACUGCAGCAUCAGUUGCAAGGUAACGACAUUCUCACAAAAGGCCAAAAGCUCGGAUCCACCAUUUUUAGCGGUCAACAAGAGAAAAAGAUCAAAUAUUGAGGGAAACACAAUGGCCCCUACCCAUCAAACUUUCAAUGGUCAAGGGGCGGGAAUCAAAAGAAAUAAAAGAAAAGGAACCCCUCAAAGAGCUCCCUUCUUAUGAUUUACUUUAAAUUUAAGGGGUGUUGUUUGUAGCAUACCCAUGAAACUCAUUAUCAAAUAUUACUAAUUAAAAUAAUGAAUAGGUUGAUGUUAUGCUUAUUGAUUUUAAUUAGA